This 861-nucleotide long non-coding RNA is filed under the name Heterocephalus glaber (naked mole-rat). RNAcentral describes it as "lncRNA (ENSHGLG00100051706.1)". The record is from RNAcentral. Lineage: Eukaryota; Metazoa; Chordata; Mammalia; Rodentia; Bathyergidae.
CUCAAUCUUGGGCAGAGCUAGAUGCAGUCCCUGCAGUGAUCCCCCAGGGGCAUGUGGCCCAGAGUAGCAGCUCCCAGAAUGACCAUGAAGGCUUCUGGGAGAAAGGGGAUGUGAGUCCUGCAUGUGAGAAGUGAGCCCAUGCUGUGGGGAUGGUCAUAGCUGAGUGAUUCCGCAACCUUUGUGUACUGGGAAUGGAUCACUGCAAUGGGCUUCCCUUGUUCCAGGACAGGCGAGACUCAACUCGAGAGGAGUCUCCCUCUUUCUUUACCUGAGAAAGAUGAGGCAAGAUACAGACAUGUGAAUCUCCAUUUUGUCUCAUAAGCAAUUAGCUGAACUGUGUCCGUGUGGCUCCAUCCAGAGAAAUGCCUGCUGCUUUGCCAGACACGAGUUCAAGUUUCCUACCUCUCCACAGACCUCUGGGAGAAGGAGCACUGGGGGCACAGCUCCAUCCUGGCCAUCUCCAGGGCCCAUGGCCACAGCUCUCAUGCUUCGCUAUCCCUGUGGCCAUCAUACUUCUGCUCCUCUCUAGCAGUUAACUCCUCCCUUUGGAUGAAAAUUCCUUUUCCCAAGGUGUACUGGCCCCAACUUUACCAAGCCAGCCUCAUCCUCCUUCAAGACACAGCAAGAUUUGCAGGGGUGCUCAGCUGCUGGCCUCAGCUUCCUGUCCAGACACCAUGGAGUGACACCCAGAGAUCCCCUAGACCUGCAUCCUGAGACUUCAGGAGAAACAGGGCCUUGUGGACCAAUUUGUGCUGAGUAUUCCCUGACCCCCGAGCAGGAGCAGUAAUCUCAGAGGAACUUGAUUUUCACCUGUGGCCACAAGGACCUCUCACCUCGAAGAAAUAGUCCAGGGAAAACCAC